GGCCAGACUCCUACGGGAGGCAGCAGUGGGGGAUAUUGCACAAUGGGGGGAACCCUGAUGCAGCGACGCCGCGUGGGUGAAGGAGCGUUUCGGCGCGUAAAGCCCUAUCGGCAGGGAAGAAGGAGGACGGUACCUGACUAAGAAGCCCCGGCUAACUACGUGCCAGCAGCCGCGGUAAUACGUAGGGGACAAGCGUUAUCCGGAUUUACUGGGGGUAAAGGGGGCGCAGACGGCAGCGCAAGCCAGGAGUGAAAGCCCGGGGCCCAACCCCGGGACUGCUCUGGAAACUGCGGCGCUGGAGUACGGGAGGGGCAGGCGGAAUUCCUGGUGUAGCGGUGAAAUGCGUAGAUAUCAGGAGGAACACCGGCGGCGAAGGCGGCCUGCUGGACCGUGACUGACGUUGAGGCUCGAGAGCGUGGGGAGCAAACAGGAUUAGAUACCCGCGUAC
RNAcentral lists this ribosomal RNA (448 nucleotides) under uncultured bacterium. RNAcentral describes it as "partial 16S ribosomal RNA". It matches the Rfam family "Bacterial small subunit ribosomal RNA", at positions 329 to 793 of the family's 1533-position model. The record is from RNAcentral.